UCGAGGAUAUUUAGCAAUGCCCGAAAGGGUGACUAUGCGACGCCGCGUGUGCGAUGAAGGUCUUCGGAUUGUAAAGCACUGUCAGCCGGGAGGAAGGCUGAUCCCCUAAUACGGGAGCAGAUUGACAGUACCGGCAGAGGAAGCCACGGCUAACUCCGUGCCAGCAGCCGCGGUAAUACGGAGGUGGCAAGCGUUACUCGGAUUGAUUGGGUGUAAAGGGUGUGUAGGUGGCGGGUUAAGUCGAAUGUGAAAUCCCUUGGCUCAACCAAGGAACUGCAUUCGAAACUGGUCUGCUUGAGCGACAGAGAGGUAGAUGGAAUUCCCGGUGUAACAGUGAAAUGUGUAGAUAUCGGGAGGAACACCAGUGGCGAAGGCGAUCUACUGGCUGUCUGCUGACACU
This 400-nucleotide ribosomal RNA is filed under the name uncultured bacterium. RNAcentral describes it as "bacterial SSU rRNA". It matches the Rfam family "Bacterial small subunit ribosomal RNA", at positions 355 to 747 of the family's 1533-position model. The record is from RNAcentral.